GACGAACGCUGGCGGCGUGCUUAACACAUGCCAGUCGAACGGUGAAGCUCCAGCUUGCUGGAGUGGAUCAGUGGCGUACGGGUGAGUAACACGUGAGCAACCUGCCCCUGACUCUGGAAUAAGCGCUGGAAACGGCGUCUAAUACUGGAUACGAGAAGGGUCCGCAUGGGCACUUUCUGGAAAGUUUUUCGGUUGGGGAUGGGCUCGCGGCCUAUCAGCUUGUUGGUGAGGUAAUGGCUCACCAAGGCGACGACGGGUAGCCGGCCUGAGAGGGCGACCGGCCACACUGGGACUGAGACACGGCCCAGACUCCUACGGGAGGCAGCAGUGGGGAAUAUUGCACAAUGGGCGAAAGCCUGAUGCAGCGACGCCGCGUGAGGGAUGACGGCCUUCGGGUUGUAAACCUCUUUCAGCAGGGAAGAAGCGAAAGUGACGGUACCUGCAGAAGAAGCACCGGCUAACUACGUG
RNAcentral lists this ribosomal RNA (468 nucleotides) under uncultured bacterium. RNAcentral describes it as "partial 16S ribosomal RNA". It matches the Rfam family "Bacterial small subunit ribosomal RNA", at positions 28 to 507 of the family's 1533-position model. The record is from RNAcentral.